RNAcentral lists this ribosomal RNA (494 nucleotides) under uncultured bacterium. Its description in RNAcentral is "partial 16S ribosomal RNA". It matches the Rfam family "Bacterial small subunit ribosomal RNA", at positions 28 to 507 of the family's 1533-position model. The record is from RNAcentral.
GACGAACGCUGGCGGCGUGCUUAACACAUGCAAGUCGAACGGAAAGGCCUGCUUUCCCUUGUGGAUUGCGGGUACUCGAGUGGCGAACGGGUGAGUAACACGUGAGUGAUCUGCCCCCAACUUGGGUAUAAGCCUGGGAAACUGGGUCUAAUUCCCGAUAGGACUGCAGGGUGGUGCCUGUGGUGGAAAACGAUUUUCUAGUGGUUGGGGAUGAGCUCGCGGCCUAUCAGCUUGUUGGUGGGGUAAUGGCCUACCAAGGCGGCGACGGGUAGCCGGCCUGGGAGGGUGGACGGCCACAUUGGGACUGAGAUACGGCCCAGACUCGUACGGGAGGCAGCAGUGGGGAAUAUUGCACGAUGGGCGGAAGCCUGAUGCAGCGACGCCGCGUGGGGGAUGACGGCCUUCGGAUUGUAAACUCCUUUCGACCGCGAGGAAGCCACCUGGUUGGAAGGGUGGUGACGGUAGUGGGAGAAGAAGCACCGGCUAACUACGUG